CUGGCGGCGUGCUUAACACAUGCAAGUCGAACGAUGACCCGGUGCUUGCACCGGUGAUUAGUGGCGAACGGGUGAGUAACACGUGAGUAACCUGCCCUUAACUCUGGGAUAAGCCUGGGAAACUGGGUCUAAUACCGGAUAUGACUCCUCAUCGCAUGGUGGGGGGUGGAAAGCUUUAUUGUGGUUUUGGAUGGACUCGCGGCCUAUCAGCUUGUUGGUGAGGUAAUGGCUCACCAAGGCGACGACGGGUAGCCGGCCUGAGAGGGUGACCGGCCACACUGGGACUGAGACACGGCCCAGACUCCUACGGGAGGCAGCAGUGGGGAAUAUUGCACAAUGGGCGCAAGCCUGAUGCAGCGACGCCGCGUGAGGGAUGACGGCCUUCGGGUUGUAAACCUCUUUCAGUAGGGAAGAAGCGAAAGUGACGGUACCUGCAGAAGAAGCGCCGGCUAACUACGUGCCAGCAGCCGCGGUAAUACGUAGGGCGCAAGCGUUAUCCGGAAUUAUUGGGCGUAAAGAGCUCGUAGGCGGUUUGUCGCGUCUGCCGUGAAAGUCCGGGGCUCAACUCCGGAUCUGCGGUGGGUACGGGCAGACUACAGUGAUGUAGGGGAGACUGGAAUUCCUGGUGUAGCGGUGAAAUGCGCAGAUAUCAGGAGGAACACCGAUGGCGAAGGCAGGUCUCUGGGCAUUAACUGACGCUGAGGAGCGAAAGCAUGGGGAGCGAACAGGAUUAGAUACCCUGGUAGUCCAUGCCGUAAACGUUGGGCACUAGGUGUGGGGGACAUUCCACGUUUUCCGCGCCGUAGCUAACGCAUUAAAUGCCCCCGCCUGGGGAGUUCGG
RNAcentral lists this ribosomal RNA (841 nucleotides) under Arthrobacter sp. 17LI(+)_OTU36. RNAcentral's name for it is "bacterial SSU rRNA". It matches the Rfam family "Bacterial small subunit ribosomal RNA", at positions 36 to 885 of the family's 1533-position model. Lineage: Bacteria; Bacillati; Actinomycetota; Actinomycetes; Micrococcales; Micrococcaceae. The record is from RNAcentral.